Long non-coding RNA from Beta vulgaris subsp. vulgaris (sugar beet), 823 nucleotides. RefSeq lists it as uncharacterized. NCBI's taxonomy places the organism in Eukaryota, Viridiplantae, Streptophyta, Magnoliopsida, Caryophyllales, Amaranthaceae. The transcript is spliced from 3 exons. The record is from RefSeq and is a predicted model, not a curated record.
AAAGAAGAUGGAAUUUCAGAAAAAAAAAACCCUAAACCCUUUCUUCUCCCUCUCUCCCAGCCGACUUUCUCUCUCCUCACACUCUCCUUGGCCGAUCUUCCCUUCUUCUCUCUCUUUCGAAUUUGCUUCUUCUCUCCCUCAGAUUUCCUUUCUUCCUCUCUCGGAUUCCCUCUCAGUCGGUGUUUGAGGGUCGCGCGGGCGUAGUCUCGAGUGGUGCGAACUCGCGCUGCGAGCGACGAAGGCUGUGCGAGGGUUGAUUCGAGCGGUGCGCAGGCGUGCCGAGGUUGCGAGCGACGAAGGCUGUGCGAGGUUUGGUUCGAGCGGUGCGCAGGCGUGUCGGUUGUGCGCGAAGGUGUUCGAGUUGGGUGCGGUGUCGAGGAUUGUGCGAGCGAGGGUUUCGGUUGUUGCGCGGGGAUUGUGCGAACCAGCAAGGCUGGUGUGGGUGUCCGUGGGCGACGAGCGAAACCGGGCGAGCUACUGUGCACUCGCGUGUGUGGUGUGAUUUUCGGUCGCCGGAAUCCUUUCGCCGGCGAGUUUCAGCGGUCCCAAUUUCAUAAGCGGCUCGUUCUAUUAAGUCAGCGAAAAUUCUCCGUUACAAGACUAGGUGAGCUGGUGCUGCUGCAUGACAUCAAGCAUAUGGGGCUAGACUGUAGUUUGAAGUUAACUUUUGGUUUGAUCAUUAAUGAAUUUUAUAGAACAUUAUUACAUGGUUUGAGUUUGAAUAAAGAGGGGUCAUCUAUGAUUCCCGAGUUGUAACUACAUUUUCUAUUCCGCUGCAAUUUGGUUUUGAGACAAUGAAUUUGAGUUACCGUAUUUCUAAUUA